GCAUCAAUGGGGUAGUGGUAACCUGGGUCGUUGCCAUCGUCGAAAUACGAAAUUUCGACCCGCCGGGGGUUCAAUUCCCCCUUGAUGCA
RNAcentral lists this transfer RNA (89 nucleotides) under Ephemerocybe angulata. RNAcentral describes it as "Coprinellus angulatus tRNA-Gly". It matches the Rfam family "tRNA". Rfam says of the family: Transfer RNA (tRNA) molecules are approximately 80 nucleotides in length. Their secondary structure includes four short double-helical elements and three loops (D, anti-codon, and T loops). Lineage: Eukaryota; Fungi; Basidiomycota; Agaricomycetes; Agaricales; Psathyrellaceae. The record is from RNAcentral.